GUAAUGCAAAAGUGGUAAAACCUAAUUAUGGCCCAACUGAAGUAAAACAAAUGGGAUAAGAAACUCAGCCCACCCCAAAAUAAACGCUCAACCAAGAACAAAGCGAUUCACUAGACUUGUCCAACUCUGAUUAUCAACAUUAUUAAAUGGUGGUUCCUUUAUUAAAGGUGUAGUGGCCGUGCUGCUACAUCCCCUUUAUUCCCCAAAGCAGAAAUUAGGUGCCUGCAUCAAACAAUGCAAGAUGUGAGAUAACACAUCUCAGCAAGUAAACAUAACAACAACAAGUAGGCCAUUGUAAAUCAACUGUGCUUACACAACCACGUGUUCAGGACUUCUUUCUUUUCUUUUGAACAGUAAAUUGCAGCAAGUAUACAAGUAACUAAAAACUCAACGCCAAGAUGAAUCACCAUGCACAAGUCCAAAUUAUCCAUAUCCACAUAAUAGAUUCAACACCUCUCCCAUGAAUGCACAUGGCUACAAAUGCAAUAAUGACUUCUGCCUCCAUAUCUCUAAGGAUAUGAAGCUGCACCAUACCCCUUCUCGGGCAACAUAUGAUGCUCAAUGUACCGGUAUGGUCGGACCAUAAGAUCGCGACGAAACUUCAAUGCAAUGGAUGAUGAGUGCAUUAUGCAUGACAACAUCAUAAGUUCUUCCCAAAUAAAAAUGUGCUAGGCAUUUACUUCCAACCAUUCCACAUAAUAACCACUUGAGUAACAUAAUCAAACCUCAAACUCAACAUAUGAAAUCCAUGAAACAUGAACAUUUUCAAAUGAUGGUACUCAAAAGAAAAAUAUGAAUUUGAACAUGAUAGCACAAUAUAAACAAGUAUAAGACUCCUCAUCUGACAGACGGAAUAACCAUCACAGUUUUACUUGCCUUCACCGAAGUUUGGGCAAAAUCACUAAGAACGAUCCGGAAGUCCACCACCUGUUUUUGACACCCAACUUAGUGCACCAAAUUCACAUAAAAAACUCAAAGACAACACCGCACCUACGCGCAGUCUCAACCCCGUCGCGGUAACAAUUCUCCCCUCACUAACCAAACUGCAGCGGCGCUGCUUAACAAUUCCAUAACUUAAAAAUUAGGACAGCAGUGGUGUCAAACAAAAACUUCAGAGACAACUACAUAAAAUUUCCCACAAGUUUUGUAUACAACUCAUGAUUAAAUUCUAAAAUCUAAUUACCUCUAAACGGUCCACAAAAUAAACCCUGCAAUCUGUUCUUUUCUGAUUUGGGCAGCGACAUACUCGGAUUCAAACAGCGAUAACUUUUAAAAUAUAAUUCCGAUUUGAGCGCAUAAGUACUUAUUGGAAAGAUAAGAAAAAGCCCUACAUGAUUCUCAUACUGAUUAACACUAAUUACUCCCAAAAAAUCCCCAGAAACGGCUAAUACUUUUGCUGUUCAUCACUCUGAAAAUUCUGUUUUUUUGGACAGCCACACACCCGGAUUCAAACGAUGAUAACUUUUAAUUUAUAACUCCAAAUUGAGCGCAUAAAUACUCGUUGGAAAGGUAAAACAAAGUUCUACAAGAUCCCCAAAUUGAUCCCCAUUAAUUCUUCACGAAAAACCUUAAAAACUGCUAGAACUUCCGCUGUUCAUCCACCACGUAAAAUUCUGGACAGCCCCCCCUCUAUCUAAUCACAAACGCAACAUCUAAACAAUUGAAUCGCAGCGCAAAUGAACAAGGGAUGAACACAAAAAUCACCUUGGGUUCUCCCCCUUUCUUUCCUCCCUUCUUCCCUCCACCAAAACGGUUGGAGAAUCGCACCACGAGACGACGAUCCGAGCGGCAAGGAUUGGCACCUUGGGAGAAGGGGAUUGAGGGGGGGGGUGGCUAGGGUUUGGUGGCUGCAAAAAAUGAGAGAGAAGGAGAUGGGCAGGGGGGUGGCGGCCAAGGGGAGGAGGAGA
This 1907-nucleotide long non-coding RNA is filed under the name Zea mays. Its description in RNAcentral is "long non-coding RNA (ZMAY_LNC000883)". Lineage: Eukaryota; Viridiplantae; Streptophyta; Magnoliopsida; Poales; Poaceae. The record is from RNAcentral.